This 467-nucleotide ribosomal RNA is filed under the name Neisseria arctica. RNAcentral describes it as "bacterial SSU rRNA". It matches the Rfam family "Bacterial small subunit ribosomal RNA", at positions 21 to 477 of the family's 1533-position model. The record is from RNAcentral. RNAcentral also lists the same sequence under 1 other name. Lineage: Bacteria; Pseudomonadati; Pseudomonadota; Betaproteobacteria; Neisseriales; Neisseriaceae.
GGCUCAGAUUGAACGCUGGCGGCAUGCUUUACACAUGCAAGUCGAACGGCAGCACGAAAGAGCUUGCUCUUUUGGUGGCGAGUGGCGAACGGGUGAGUAAUACAUUGGAACGUACCGAGUAAUGGGGGAUAACUGUCCGAAAGGAUGGCUAAUACCGCAUACGCUCUGAGGAGGAAAGCGGGGGACCUUCGGGCCUCGCGUUAUUCGAGCGGCCAAUGUCUGAUUAGCUAGUUGGUGGGGUAAAGGCCUACCAAGGCGACGAUCAGUAGUGGGUCUGAGAGGAUGAUCCGCCACACUGGGACUGAGACACGGCCCAGACUCCUACGGGAGGCAGCAGUGGGGAAUUUUGGACAAUGGGCGAAAGCCUGAUCCAGCCAUGCCGCGUGUCUGAAGAAGGCCUUCGGGUUGUAAAGGACUUUUGUCAGGGAAGAAAGGGUUUGGGUUAAUACCCUGAGCUUAUGACGGUA